RNAcentral lists this transfer RNA (71 nucleotides) under Hypoxylon rubiginosum. RNAcentral's name for it is "tRNA-Gly". It matches the Rfam family "tRNA". From Rfam's summary of the family: Transfer RNA (tRNA) molecules are approximately 80 nucleotides in length. Lineage: Eukaryota; Fungi; Ascomycota; Sordariomycetes; Xylariales; Hypoxylaceae. The record is from RNAcentral.
ACAUCAGUAGUCUAGUGGUAAAAUUCAUCGUUUCCAAAGAUGGGUCCCGCGUUCGAUUCGCGGCUGAUGCA